UACAGAGGGGGCAAGCGUUGUUCGGAAUUACUGGGCGUAAAGGGCGCGUAAGCGGCCCGCUAAGUCGAACGUGAAAUCCCCGAGCUCAACUCGGGAACUGCGUCCGAUACUGGCGGGCUUGAAUCCGGGAGAGGGAUGCGGAAUUCCAGGUGUAGCGGUGAAAUGCGUAGAUAUCUGGAGGAACACCGGUGGCGAAGGCGGCAUCCUGGACCGGCAUUGACGCUGAGGCGCGAAAGCCAGGGGAGCAAACGGG
Molecule: ribosomal RNA, 253 nt
Filed under: uncultured bacterium
Lineage: Bacteria
Description: partial 16S ribosomal RNA
Rfam family: Bacterial small subunit ribosomal RNA
Source: RNAcentral